RNAcentral lists this long non-coding RNA (738 nucleotides) under Salmo salar (Atlantic salmon). RNAcentral describes it as "lncRNA (ENSSSAG00000104181.1)". The record is from RNAcentral. Lineage: Eukaryota; Metazoa; Chordata; Actinopteri; Salmoniformes; Salmonidae.
GUAAGGUUAAAGCGGAAAUCAGCUGUGGAAGUCAGUGGCGUCAGUUCAGCUAAACCUAGGCUCAAACAAAUGGAUUGGAGAGUUAUAUUUGUCUGCGCAGUAGCAUGGCAUGUUUCACUGGUGUCACAAUCUUAUGCCACAGGUGGUGUGAAUACAUCUCUCUCUACAGCUCAGAGCAACUUGUCUCUGUGUUUCACCUGCAACGGUGAGAGAUGUCAAGAUGUGAAAAAGAUUUUCAACUCAAUGAGAGAUGACAAAAUUUGGACGCAAAGUACUGCAACGUCUGCCCUUCUUGGCUGUUCCCUGACCUCGUCUCCCUUUGCUGGGAAGUGUGUGCCAUGUGUUGAGGACCGCAAGGUCUACAUUGUUUGCCUUGACAUGCCCAAGGAUCUCAAACUGGACCUGGAGGAUGGUGAUGGCAACUCAUUUUCCUACACUGAAGCUACAUGCCCUAGACUGACGGCGUCUAGAGCUGUAGGUCACGCUGGACACAACAGUGGAGUCAGAGGUCUUGCUGGGCAUGGUGGAGCAAUGAUCAGCAUUGGCAUGUUAGCAGCUGCCGUCAUCUUUGUCGCUUACUACAGAAGCCAGACCAAAUCAAGUAUUGUCUAGUGUCAACUUCAGAAGUCCACUCAGAGGAACACCAGACCCAUUUAAAGUUAUUAAAGACUGUCACGUCUACUGCUCCCCCUCUCCGGCGCACAGAGGGAGGGGGGCAGAACAUGAGACAGAGCUGCA